This 70-nucleotide transfer RNA is filed under the name Gasteruption sp. M19. RNAcentral describes it as "tRNA-Phe". The record is from RNAcentral. Lineage: Eukaryota; Metazoa; Arthropoda; Insecta; Hymenoptera; Gasteruptiidae.
AUUUAAAUAGCUUAAGAUUUAUAGAGUGUAAUAUUGAAGAUAUUAAGGUAAUUUAUAAAAUUUUUAAAUA